Molecule: ribosomal RNA, 252 nt
Filed under: uncultured bacterium
Lineage: Bacteria
Description: partial 16S ribosomal RNA
Rfam family: Bacterial small subunit ribosomal RNA
Source: RNAcentral
UACGUAGGGGGCAAGCGUUGUCCGGAAUCAUUGGGCGUAAGAGCGUGUAGGCGGCCAGACAGGUCCGUUGUGAAAACUCGAGGCUCAACCUCGAGACGCCGAUGGAAACCGUCUGGCUAGAGUCCGGAAGAGGAGAGUGGAAUUCCUGGUGUAGCGGUGAAAUGCGCAGAUAUCAGGAAGAACACCCGUGGCUAAGGCGGCUCUCUAGUACGGUACUGACGCUGAGACGCGAAAGCGUGGGGAGCGAACAGG